AGGACGAACGCUGGCGGCGUGCUUAACACAUGCAAGUCGAGCGGUAAGGCCUUUCGGGGUACACGAGCGGCGAACGGGUGAGUAACACGUGGGUGAUCUGCCCUGCACUUCGGGAUAAGCCGUAGGGAAACUGGGUCUAAUACCGGAUAUGACCUCCUAUCGCAGUGGGUGGGUGGUAGGAAAGUAUUUAUCGGUGCAAGGGAGUCGGGCCCCGCGGCCUAUCCAGUCGUUUGGUUGGGUAGGGGUAAUCGGCCCUACGAAGGCCGGACGGACGGGUAGCCGACCGUGAGGAGGGUCGACCGGCCACACCGUGGGACUGAGACGACCGGCCCAGACUCCGUACGGGAGGCAGCGAGGUGGGGAAUAGUGACACAAGUGGACGAAACGCU
Molecule: ribosomal RNA, 389 nt
Filed under: uncultured soil bacterium
Lineage: Bacteria
Description: bacterial SSU rRNA
Rfam family: Bacterial small subunit ribosomal RNA
Source: RNAcentral